This is a long non-coding RNA of Micropterus dolomieu (smallmouth bass), 873 nucleotides long. RefSeq lists it as uncharacterized. NCBI's taxonomy places the organism in Eukaryota, Metazoa, Chordata, Actinopteri, Centrarchiformes, Centrarchidae. The transcript is spliced from 4 exons. The record is from RefSeq and is a predicted model, not a curated record.
CAACCACUGACCCCUGACAUAUCAGCAGCAGCACCCCAGCCAGCAUCAUUUCCAGAGCCUCGGGUGUGUCCCAGGACAAAAUGUCAAAGAGGGAAGAGGAUCGCUCUUGCUACAGAAGUGGCUAAUGUAGCCUCAAGCUGCUAGUCUGAGGAGCGGGCUAUAGAGUUCUGAAUAUUAUGUUGUGAGGAGCUGGAGGUCUGAGGUGAGAAUCCCCUUUGAUGGAGUGAAGGUGGAGCUUCCUGCAGCUGUGUGGGCAGCAGAUUUCCGUGGGUUAGCCUUUUGACCUGCAAAGGAGGGAACAUUGUUGCACAACACCUCUCAGAUUAAGAAAACACAGACGUUCUUUGCAUCAAGGGAACACCAUACAUGUUUCCUGAUGUGAAGAAAUAGAUUUCUCGCACGUUAGGAUGCUUUGUGCCUUUUUGCCAGUGUUAAUGUACUGUGGUUGACAAACAUAAUGUGCCACUAGUGCCCCUUUUGUCAGUCCCAAACGGCCAUGACUGUUGCAAAACACAGUCUGAGCUGCAUUCCCUCCCUGAGAGAGACCCAGGAAUACCACCCUCUGUCCCUUGCUUCCUUUUGCCCUCCUUCCCUCCCACCCCACCCCACCACCCUUGUCUGCAGAGUGGCCGGAUCAGCAUCGCUCUCUAACCUCCAUUGCUGGCCUGAGAAACACUGGGCCCGUUGUUGACAUGCUGGCCUCAUACCCCACAGGGGCUGACAAAUUAUUAGCCAGCCUCUCUGUGCAGAGUGAGGACAGCCAGCCAGCGAGUCUGUGCAGCCAGGCAGCAGAAUACUAAAAUGUGCUGCUAGACAUGAGACCAUCUGUCUUGAUAAGCUCUGUGGCAAUGGUGCUGGAGGAAAUGUGGGAGC